RNAcentral lists this transfer RNA (123 nucleotides) under Candidatus Woesearchaeota archaeon. RNAcentral's name for it is "tRNA-OTHER". The record is from RNAcentral. Lineage: Archaea; Nanobdellati; Candidatus Woesearchaeota.
GGGCCGGUAGCUCAGCCUGGUAGAGCACCUGCCGGACAGAAAUAAAUGUCGGGGUGAAACUUUUAAUCAGGUGGUCGCGAGUCCGAAUGAAGCAGACAAUGCCUGGAAAUCUCGUCCGGCCCA